GCGUCGAGCGGCGGACGGGUGAGUAAUGCCUAGGAAAUUGCCCUGAUGUGGGGGAUAACCAUUGGAAACGAUGGCUAAUACCGCAUGAUGCCUACGGGCCAAAGAGGGGGACCUUCGGGCCUCUCGCGUCAGGAUAUGCCUAGGUGGGAUUAGCUAGUUGGUGAGGUAAGGGCUCACCAAGGCGACGAUCCCUAGCUGGUCUGAGAGGAUGAUCAGCCACACUGGAACUGAGACACGGUCCAGACUCCUACGGGAGGCAGCAGUGGGGAAUAUUGCACAAUGGGCGCAAGCCUGAUGCAGCCAUGCCGCGUGUGUGAAGAAGGCCUUCGGGUUGUAAAGCACUUUCAGUCGUGAGGAAGGUGGUGUAGUUAAUAGCUGCAUUAUUUGACGUUAGCGACAGAAGAAGCACCGGCUAACUCCGUGCCAGCAGCCGCGGUAAUACGGAGGGUGCGAGCGUUAAUCGGAAUUACUGGGCGUAAAGCGCAUGCACGUGGUUUGUUAAGUCAGAUGUGAAAGCCCGGGGCUCAACCUCGGAAUUGCAUUUGAAACUGGCAGACUAGAGUACUGUAGAGGGGGGUAGAAUUUCUCGUGUAGCGGUGAUAUGCGUGCAGAUCUGAAGGAAUACCGGUGGCGAAGGCGCUCCCCCUGCACAGAUACUGACACUCAGAUGCGAAAGCGUGGGGAGCAAACACGAUUAGAUAUUCUGGUAGUCCACCUCCGUAAAUGAUCUCUACUUGGAGGUUGUGGCCCCCCUCCGCGGCUUUCUGAUCUGACGCGUUUAAAUAGACCGUCCCGAGGGAUGACCGUCGCGAGAUUCAAAUCUCACAUAA
RNAcentral lists this ribosomal RNA (830 nucleotides) under Vibrio parahaemolyticus. Its description in RNAcentral is "bacterial SSU rRNA". It matches the Rfam family "Bacterial small subunit ribosomal RNA", at positions 88 to 908 of the family's 1533-position model. The record is from RNAcentral. Lineage: Bacteria; Pseudomonadati; Pseudomonadota; Gammaproteobacteria; Vibrionales; Vibrionaceae.